Molecule: ribosomal RNA, 494 nt
Filed under: Flavobacterium sp.
Lineage: Bacteria; Pseudomonadati; Bacteroidota; Flavobacteriia; Flavobacteriales; Flavobacteriaceae
Description: bacterial SSU rRNA
Rfam family: Bacterial small subunit ribosomal RNA
Source: RNAcentral
CGGACUAAGAGACCGGCGCACGGGUGCGUAACGCGUAUGCAAUCUACCUUUUACAGAGGGAUAGCCCAGAGAAAUUUGGAUUAAUACCUCAUAGCAUUGCAGAAUGGCAUCAUUCAGCAAUUAAAGUCACAACGGUAAAAGAUGAGCAUGCGUCCCAUUAGCUAGUUGGUAAGGUAACGGCUUACCAAGGCUACGAUGGGUAGGGGUCCUGAGAGGGAGAUCCCCCACACUGGUACUGAGACACGGACCAGACUCCUACGGGAGGCAGCAGUGAGGAAUAUUGGACAAUGGGCGCAAGCCUGAUCCAGCCAUGCCGCGUGCAGGAUGACGGUCCUAUGGAUUGUAAACUGCUUUUAUACGAGAAGAAACACUGCUUCGUGAAGCAGCUUGACGGUAUCGUAAGAAUAAGGAUCGGCUAACUUCGUGCCAGCAGCCGCGGUAAUACGGAGGAUCCAAGCGUUAUCCGGAAUCAUUGGGUUUAAAGGGUCCGUAGG